RNAcentral lists this ribosomal RNA (464 nucleotides) under uncultured bacterium. RNAcentral's name for it is "partial 16S ribosomal RNA". It matches the Rfam family "Bacterial small subunit ribosomal RNA", at positions 28 to 507 of the family's 1533-position model. The record is from RNAcentral.
GACGAACGCUGGCGGCGUGCUUAACACAUGCAAGUCGAACGGAAAGGCCCAGCUUGCUGGGUGCUCGAGUGGCGAACGGGUGAGUAACACGUGGGUGAUCUGCCUCUAACUUCGGGAUAAGCUUGGGAAACUGGGUCUAAUACCGGAUAGGACAAUCGUUUAGUGUCGGUUGUGGAAAGUUUUUUCGGUUAGGGAUGAGCCCGCGGCCUAUCAGCUUGUUGGUGGGGUAAUGGCCUACCAAGGCGUCGACGGGUAGCCGGCCUGAGAGGGUGGACGGCCACAUUGGGACUGGGGUACGGCCCAGACUCCUACGGGAGGCAGCAGUGGGGAAUAUUGCACAAUGGGCGCAAGCCUGAUGCAGCGACGCCGCGUGGGGGAUGACGGCCUUCGGGUUGUAUACCUCUUUCGACAGGGACGAAGCUUUGGUGACGGUACCUGUAUAAGAAGCACCGGCUAACUACGUG